This is a long non-coding RNA of Sphaerodactylus townsendi, 3614 nucleotides long. RefSeq lists it as uncharacterized. The transcript is spliced from 2 exons. The record is from RefSeq and is a predicted model, not a curated record. NCBI's taxonomy places the organism in Eukaryota, Metazoa, Chordata, Lepidosauria, Squamata, Sphaerodactylidae.
GGAAACCCUAAGGAAAACUGAUCUCUGUAGUGGGGAGAUCUGUUGUGAUUCUGGGAGAGCCGCUGCCGUCCUUCUGCUGUGGGGAGGAGCAGGUGGGCAGCUGGGAGUGCCGCAGCCACCACUGCCACUGUGGGAGGGGGAGAGGAAGCAGAGGUGAAGCUGGGCGGGUGAUGGCGUAGAAAUAGAAAGUGAUGGGGUCAGAACCCGAAAGAGAGAAAGUGACUGGCAUGGAGGAGAGACACAGAAAGAAAAAGGGAGGCAGGAGGUUUGGAAAGGGUGAGACACUGAGAAAUAGGAGGGAAAGAGAGAAACCAAAGGUGGGAAUGGGAUAACCCCUCCCACAAGUUCCUUGCAGGUCCCCUCUUGUGUAUAUCUGAUAACAACAUGUGACACUUCCCCCACCUUCCCAUCUUCAGAUAUUUAAAUCCACAGGUCAGGACCAUACUGAUACUAUCCAGGUCUUUUUGCAAACUUAUGUUACUACCCAGGUUUGUAGAAAAAUCUGAUAAUUAAAAAUAUAUAUUGGAGGUUUAACCCCACCCCCCCCCCCCCCCAAUUUAAAAUGCAGACAACACUCUUCCCUUCUGAGCUGCUGGUUGUGGUGGUGACUGCUACAGAGAUUCUUUCUGGGUCUGGCUGCCAUUUCAGAGGACGCAAGAAGAGGCUCCAGUGUUCUCCCAAUGCAGCUCCCAGCAUCCUCCACUAAGGCAGCUGGGACCAGAGCGAAGCCUAAGGUUGGUGGUGAGGCCUGGAGCCAUGAUGGGGGAGCAGAAAUAGAAUUCCCUUUCCCUUACAGCUCUCUCGGAUCUUCCAGUUUUAUCAUGAAUAAUAUGGAAACUGGCUUUUUAUUAUUAUACUUUGCCUCUUGUUAGCUAGGUUUUAAGCAUCAGCUCUUGGAGGCGAUUUUUGCAUCAUACCAUGCCAUAAAUUAAACUAAUUUAUUGCUGAUGUCACUGGGAAUACGAUUUCUGUGGUCUAUGAGAAAUAUCUUUGUGUUCUGUUUCUUUUACCCCAUUCUUUACAUUGUGCUGUCUCUGAAUUCUUUCUCUUAUUACUCCUUCCAAAUUGGUUUUGAUAUCAAGUUCUUCGAGAAUAGGAUGGAGAGAAAAAUAGAGGACCUCUUUUCCUUUGGCACAGUCCAGAAACAGAAAGCAAAACUGUAAUUAAACAUUUUCAAAAGUAAUGUUUAGAAAACAGCACUUAUAUUCGUUUUGAAUUGUCAGGACUGUCAAAGUACACACAUUCUCUUUGGCCCCAAUCUCUCUGCAGAGUCUUCAUGCAGGAUGUGUUGAGGCAAAACUGUUUCAAAGUACACUGAACGAUUUUCCAAGGCAAUUUCAAAGGAUGUCCUGAAGCUUGGUUACAAAGUGAUAAAAAAUAAAAUCAGAAUACUUGAUUUGGAUAAAUUAUUCAGUAGUACAGAGCAGAGUUUCAGCUUAUAGACAGCUUGAAAUAAGUUCAACUAUUUUUGUAGACUGAUAUUGGUUGUAUAGUAUUUUAUCUCCUUUUGAGGAUAAGGCCAAUGGUGUGUCUUAUGAGAUGGUUUAUUAAGGGUUAGCAGAGAUACUUAAAAUGAGCCCAGUUUAGUAACUAGAGGUAGAAGUUCAGUAAACCCAAACGAGGGGAAAAAAACCUGAAAAAGACCCCAUCUUUACCUGAAAAAAGGCAGCAAUAACAGGGAGCCUAAAAAUGGAUCCAGAAAAGUGCUGAUGUUUUUCAGUAUUUUUCAGCCUGUUUGGCUUGCUGCCUCAAAAAAACCAUUGCAUCUCACUGCCUUCCUCACUUUCUUGAAGCAUGGCAAGGUCCAGCUUUAUACUGCUGUCUUCACCUCCGAAAUCCACAUGGACUUUGGAGGCAGUGUGUGCAGUUGAAGGCGAGACCUGGCCAGCUGUGCUCCAAGUCCAGCUUUAUACUUCUGUAUCCGCCUCCUAUGUGACACUGUUACCCAAAUUGGUCUGGUCUGUUCCCUUUUAAUUAUGAGGAAUUAGCAGGAACAGACCUUGCAAACGAGAACGGCUGGGCCAGGAUCUUUCUACGAGUGAAUACAGAGGUCUUUCCCCUUAGAAAUCCACAUAAACUAGAAUUUCAGAGAAGGUUUUGCAAUUUUCUUAAAGAGACAAAAAUAAUAAAAACACACACAUAAUUCAGUAGCACACAAGCACACAUACAUAGAGUUUCAAGUAACCUAGGAUAUAUAGAGAGAUGAAGGAUAGCUUGAGAAUAGCAGAGGGUGUAGAGGGAAGGAUGAUAUUUACCAAUCUAGAAGAAAAUUCAAGGAAGCAAAAUCCAGCUCCAGGAUUGUUUCCCAGGAGAAGGACAGCAUUGGGCACAAUGGAACCAGAACCAAAGGUGGAACCAGAUUGAGAGGCGAGGGAGGGGUCCUUGUUUGCGAGGACUAGUUGUAGGAAAAAUUAGCCCUUUGGCAAUGAUAAAAGUGGCUACUUUCCAGAAACAAAGCAAAGUUCCCAUAGCAGAAACAGUGCUAUGGGAAAAGGAAUGAUUAGGUUAAAACCUGGGAGUGCCCAACACCUGAUGAAAUCAGGACCGUGUUGAGGAAACUAAUGCCAGGGGCGUUCCAAGUCAGUGUGAGCCUGGACUGACAUAAUAAAGGAACUCAAGGCUGUGCUGUGGGCUCCUGAGCCUCCAGGGAAGGCAUUGUUGACUGCUAUGCAUACUUGCUUCAGAGGAGGAAAGCGUGUUCAGGCAAACCCUUCUUAAUAUCAAAGUCCAAGAAUUAAGAUGGAAUCCAUCUUAAUCUGAACUGUCUAUGAUACCAAGAUAUGACUGGUAGAGCGUUUUAGAAAAUGCCCCUCCCCCCGGUCUUGCUACAGGUCUGCAUGCCAACAACUCUGAGCUCGGCCUGGCCAGGUCCAGCUUUAAAUUGUUGGCUUCGGAGUUGGAGCCCCCAUUUUAAUGCUGAAUGCGGAACUGGCAGGGCCCAGCACCUGUCUCCGAAAUAGGCAUAUUUUUGUGGUUCAGAUUUAAUAACCUAAACAUUUUAAGAACAUUUGGGAGGGUUUCCAAAAUUUCUUGGUUUAUUAAACCUGAACCCGGAAAAUAUUAGGAAAAAAAAAGGUGGCCACCCCUACUAAUAACUUUAACAAGUGGGGCCCACUGAUUUAGUGUACAUUUCUUGAUCUUGGAAGGCUUGAUCUCAUUUCACAACUACGAAACUAAUUGUGUGAACUUGCAUUGGAGCAUAAUAUACACUAUCUUGGAGGGAAAGUAGGAUAGAAAUGUACCACGUUGUUGAAAAGUGCUAUAAACCCCCAGCUAUAACAGUCUUUCUGUGACCCCUUAAAUCAGAUGUGAUGAGGAAAAGGAAUGUUGUUGUACUUCACACCUGUGUGAUGCAGUAGAAACAAUGAGGGGAAAAAUCAUUCGGCAAAUGCACAAAGUCUGCUCUCUCUUUUUGGACAUGCAGAUCUUAAAAUAGAACAAGGUUUGUUUUUCAGUUUGGAAUUUCGGUUCAUAAAGUCGUGUUCAAGAGCCAGUGUGGUGAGGUGGUUAAAGUGUUGAACUAGGACUUAAUGACAAAAAAGGGUACUGUGUAUUAAUUGAAGGUUUGUAAUGUUAAUAACAGAGACAUGGCCCAAUAAAAGAAAUAACUAUUA